AAGGUUACUUUUCUACUUUGAACAAGCAAACAAGCCAACAGAAGAGAAGUUUCACAAGCAACUCCCAGCACAUCCGCUCACCUAGUGUUGUCUGUGACCUCACUCUCGGUGCCCCACCUCUUAUUACAGAUUGAACAGGGUCCAGGGGGAAGGACCAAGCCUGUCCCAUCGGCCAUCCUAUGUGUCAUGUCCUGGGACCCAGUGGAUGCUCAGCACCUGAAGAAGAUUGUCUUAGACACAUGGAAGCUGAGGACGCCUACUGUCCCCUCGGAACCCAGGUGGGGCUGGGAGUCUGCUGUUUGUAUAGCCGGUGGGCUCGUGUUGCUUUGGGCAUCCCUGUGUCUGAAUUCCUGCAGUACACUCGGUGGUUUUACCUGAACCACCAGCUUCUGCAUCUCUGAAGACAGAUGAUGAGGACCCUUCACGUAAACCGUUCGCACAGCCCUGUGCAGGCCUUUGUGCUGCACGGUCUGCCCGGCGAGAUAACUGAGUGCAUUCCAUGGUGCAUCCUCGCCUAGAAUUGAGUGGAAGCAAGUCCAUCUCAGAAGGGACAUAACUGAAGGGGGAUGGCUUCCCAGACUCUGAUGGGCAGAGAGAGCAGCAGCCUGGCAUCUCUGAGCCCGCCCUUGGUGACCUCAGAGAGAUCACCCUAGUGGCCCAGGCUAGUGACCGGGAACAUGUACCUUCCUGCAGCCAACCCCAGACGUCCACUGAUGCAUCAUAUACUGGCAAAGAUCCUGGCCUAGGGGGGCCUUGGCCGCUGGAGUUUCGCCAGAUGUUGGACUCCAGG
Molecule: long non-coding RNA, 790 nt
Organism: Camelus dromedarius (Arabian camel)
Lineage: Eukaryota; Metazoa; Chordata; Mammalia; Artiodactyla; Camelidae
Exons: 7
Source: RefSeq, a predicted model, not a curated record